This is a non-coding RNA of Coturnix japonica (Japanese quail), 6088 nucleotides long. The record is from RefSeq and is a predicted model, not a curated record. Lineage: Eukaryota; Metazoa; Chordata; Aves; Galliformes; Phasianidae.
GUGCUUUCCAUUGCAUUACAGUGUCACAAGGUCCUUUUGCAAUGCUGUGCCUAGGUGGAGUGAAGGUGCAUGAAUGCUAGAGCUGCUCUGUCAUCUCCUUCUGUUGACACUGGGACACAGGAACUACCUGUAUGCAGUCCAAGUACUUCCAGAGUUCCACAGUGAGGUCAGAAGAAAGGGAACGAUGCAGCUAUGACUGAGGGAUUUUAUAAUUUCAAGAUCAUCUGCCUAAGUGACAAUAGUGACAAUACUUAAAAUGAUGCCAUGAAAACUGAGGAUGCAAAGAUGUCCAGGCUGACCAAAACUCUGGAAACUUGAGAGAGAGACUGCAAGAACUCCAUGAUAACUGCAGCUAGAUUCUGGAUCGGGUGCAAUAAGGAAGCAUGUGCUGACCAUCGUUGGGGAACCUGGGAGAAGAGCUUGCUCAGCAUGACCAUCUUGAAUUUGCAGCAUCUAUGUUAGUUGCAAGGAACUGCUCAUUCCUGGAGAACAAGGUAGGAUCAGCCUCCAAGAAACCUAUCAGGGAGGCAAAGAGAACUGCAGCACUGUAACCAGGUAAGACCCAGCGAAGGUAAGAGCACAAGGACAGUAAACUUAAAAUCCAGCAAUACAUAAAGUGACAGAAGAGAGAUGUGCCCCUUUCACUGAUUGUUGAUGCUCUUGUUUUUUUUCCUCUACUCAACACCUGCAGAGAUUUUCCUAGUACCAACCACAGAAACACAACUUUUCUGUGAAAUCCUUGACUGAAUCUCACCACAAGCAUUAAUUAUGCUCAUAAGAACUGCUGCCAGUGGAGAAUAAACAUCACAUGCAACUUAUCUCAAAGCAUCGGGUGAGAUCCUCAUUUGGUUUCAUAGGGAAGGGCAACUACACAUGAUUUUUUCCAUCUACACUCCCUAGCCAUUCACUCCAGUAUUUCUCAGAACACACACACCAGAUAAAAGAUUUGGUCAUGGCUCUCUUGAGAAAUACUGAGCGCUUAAGUGCACAGCAGAUAGAAUCACAGUUACUACCAAGUGUAAUUUUCCAUGCUUUACUACUUUAACUUAGAUUGUGUAUAUUCAUAGUGAUUUCAAAACCUGCUGAAGUCAGCUGAGUCCUACAUAUUGGUUCUGUUCAUCCUGCAGGUAAGUCCUAAGUUGGUGUUCAACUCUGUAACAAGUUACAAGUUACCUAAACUCCAUGUCUUUGAACUGUGUUUUGCUUCAAGAUGAUUUUGUUUGAUACCAUCCUCCAAACCUGUCUGUUUUUCUGUAUCAGCUUUUCUGUGAUCCUGUGGUGUCUCCAUGGACAGAAGUAUCAUCCUCAGCUUAAUGACAGGGAAAACUAAAAAAGAUAUCCCCAAACACUGCUUUUCAAAAAGACUGCUUUAUCAAGUGAAAUAAAUUAUAAAUAUUCCCUAAAUUAUUGGAAUUUAUUUGGAACAGUAUCUCCACUCUUACAUUUGGCAUACAGUCCACUUGCUCUUUCCAUUUCCAAACAACAAUGUUAGUUAGAAUUAAUAAGUACUGGUUGUGAUCCAGCCUAUUAACGUAGCAAGAUCGAUCCAUGGGGUGUUUUAUAGCUUGUUAAAAUUUUAUUAGCUAACACAGAUCAUCAGUAAAAACUGUUUAAUUGGCUAAUUGCUACAGCUGUUUCUGUCAGCAAUGCUUGUGAUUCUUUCCAUGUAUACAAUAUUGUCUAGUCCUGAAAAAGCCUGACAUUCAUCUUUACAGGAGACUCUCUUACUACAGUUUGAUAUUAUGUGAAAAUACAUUAGUUUCUCCUAACACCUGUUAUGAAAAGCACCAGCUUAGGUUAAAGCUUCGCACAGAACAAUCUUUCUUAAAAUUUUAGAAAAUUAAAAAGAUUCAGAGUCUUUCACUGUCUUGGUUUGAUAAGCAGUGACCUUGGUUUGAUAAGCAGUGCUACGCUGGGCUGAGUAGGGAUUACUACAGCAUCUCAUAGUCUUUGUUCAAGCUGUAUAGCAGCUGCUUCACAAUCUCAACCCAGCUAAGCAAGUAUUUGCACUAGAAAACAUUUAGUAAGCAGUAUUUGGCCAGCUGGAGUUAGAAGAAUGAUGAUAUUUCACAAUUAUUAUUAGCAGCACGUAGUUUUAUUUGAAUUCUAUUCCAUGAGAUAAAAUUAGGUUUAAUGUGCAGAAAGUUUUCAUUUUCUCCAUAAACAACUUGCUCUGUCUGCUUGUAAUAUGAAGAUUGUGUUUAAAAACAUCAAGACUAUAUUUCUGCUCACUGAAACAGCUCAUAAUUGCUAUAUAAGAACAGUAGAAUUCCAUGCUGUACUGCAGAUGUCUGUGCAAGGUUUAUCAAUUUUUCUUUUAAAAUUUCUUUUUUACUAUUCUAGCAGAUUAUCUAGGGUGCAUUUUUAAACAAUUUACUCCUUAUUUAAUACUGUGAGGCAUUCCUGACAGUGAAAUUCUAAAACCCAUCUUGUACUUGGAAUAUGACUUUUUACUUUGCCUUUUAGUACUACCUUGAUGCAAUGCACAAAUACUCCACUCUGAAAUCCAGCAAAACUUUCUUUGCUUGUUGAACAACAGCAGUAGUUAUGCAACAGAGAGCAUCAUCCCAGCAGAUUGUUAAAUCUGCUUGCUAAUUAUACCUUAAGUGUUGAUCAAUGCUGGAGCUGAAUUAAUGCAUUACAAAUACAUGACAUGUGUCUUAAGCUACAAAUAAGUGUACAGUCUUCUGAAUAAUGAAGUGAAAAUUAAAUUUAACCACAGUUGAACUGGGAAAUUAUAUAUGAAAAUAAUAGCUUAUACUACUAAAGCCUGAAUGCUUGUAAAGCUUGUAUGAGCUUAUCAAGUCAUAAAAAACUAGAGUAACUGCAAUUUAUAUUACUCUUUCAGAGUCUUGCACGUAUUAUUGUAGCUCAACUCUCCUAAUGUGUAAGUAUCUGAUUUUUAACUGUGAUCCAAUAUUUCCUACCCUUGAAAAGGUCAUCUUUCAGUGUAUUUAUAGAGCAGGCCAAGAAAAAAGAAGAAAAAAAUGUAACAAUUAGCAUACAAUUAGCAUUACAACUAUAAUUCAUAGAUCAAAAAAAUAAAAAAUACUCAAUUCUUAAUGCCCACCUGCCUUUCUACUCCAAACCCACUUCUACUCUCACUUGUUUUCUGGUUAUUUCCAUGAAAUAUGAAGAUCCUUUCAAAUGUUAAUUAUUCAUAAAGUAUAGAACUGGAAAGAGAAUACUUCUCACUUCGUAAGAUUUUGAGAGAAUUCACAUUUCUGAGCUUGACUUAAACAGAAACUGUCAAGGUUCCUAUGAACUGUGAUGGUGGCUGGAUGUAAUUCAUACCGUGCAUGGUACCAAUGGCACAUACCACUCUAACAGCUUUUGGGAUAUCCUGGCCAAUCAACUUCAUCUGCUCUUUCCAAGCAAAAUUACUGAGAAUAGUCAUUGCAUGAGUGAAUUUAAACGAGUAAUGAAAUAUUAAGAUAAAACAUAUCCUGAUAAACGUAAUAUAUAUGUAACAUAUGUAAUAUAUGUAAGACAACUUACAAACUUACACUGUAAGUUUUUUUUUUUCUGAGACAGAGCCAAGAGGAUGUGAAUAUUAUGUAUCACAGUACGGAUAAUCUCAGAGCAAAGGCAUGCAGCCACUGACAGCAUUGGUUAUACUGCAGUCUAUCACCUGACCUUUUGGGGGCAAAAACCCUGAAUGCUUUGCAAUUUCAUACAUCUCCUACCAGGGAAUGGAAACCUAUAAACAAGGACCCUGACAGACGACAUCUGGAGAUAGAACAGCCAGCCUUAUGUAUUCAGAAAAGGAAGAUGGCCAAUGGUCUCCUACAAGCACUUACGUUCCACUACCCUUUAAAAUGAGGGUGUGUUCUGAUAACAACAUCUCACAAAGGAAGAAAACACUCACCAGUGCUUCUCUCUCCUGAUAAUACACAUUCAUCCAUAACCAAUGUGCUAUAACACAAUGGGACCUCAGAUCUAAUGACUUGUCUAAUAAAUACAAGCCACUUUUCCAACAUCUCUGAACAAACAAGGAAUGUGUUUUUAUUAAAAAACAAUUGUAAAAACUUGGUAUUUAAAGCAUUUGGAGCAGAAAUGCUAAGUCAAGACCUGACCAGCGAUUGGGAAGGCAGGGCCAAUCCAGGGGAGCACAGCUGUCUGAAAUGCACCUGAGUAAGUGGAGGAGGUGGAGCCAAGAUCCAUCACAUCCCAGACCUCAUUUAAGAAUUGGCAGUGGAGACAGGGGUUUUCUUUGAGGAUUCCUGCCUCUCUGAGACUUUCUGAAGUUUUCCAACAUCGCUCUGAAAUUUAUGCAGUCAUCGCUGGAUGCAGCUGGCUCAUAUCUGGUAGCUACGAACACCAGACAUGGAUAUUUUGGCACAAAUUGGAAAUCCUUGUUUUCAGCCACCUCUGCUUCCAGCUGCUUAAACGAUUUUCAUCAAUUUGGUUGUCUGGCUUUCUGCUAGAGUUCCGAGAACAAAUGUUCACUGUUUUAGCAGUUACUUCCUGUACAUAUCUGAAGAGAUUGCAGUAAGUUUCGUAUAACAAAGGUUGUAAUCAUUUGAACUUUAGCAACAAUAUUUUAAAAAGUAGUUCUCAUCAAGAUGACAGUAGUUGUCCCUCCCCCAAAUUCACUGUAGACAGCUUAGACAGAGUACAAUUCACACCAUUAUACAAUGGUGGAUGUUGGUACACAAAACUUACAGGUCUAAGAGACAGCUGAAUGCCACAACAAACAAAAACAUGAAGAAAUAUCCACUUAUUCUGACCAGUCAGAAUGGUGGUCUAAAGGAAGAAAAUUGCUACAUAAACAUCUAUAUAUGAACAGCAGAGAAAACGAAUGAAACUUCCAAGUUUCUCUGGAAAGGUUCUCUCUUCACUUCCUGCUCCAACAGAAGAAGCAUUUUUUAAUCUGGAUAAUGUGAUAAUUUAAUCUGGAUAAUGUGAUAAUUACUGCGGAAAGGUUCAGUAUACUCUAACCUUUGCAACCCUUGUGCAAUUCUGGAAGGAUUUCAAACAAGUUUCCUUUGAAAAAAAAGACUAAGUACUAAAAAGAGAGUAAAUAAUUACUAUCUUGGUAUAGUUCUGCCUAAGCAGCAUGAAAUAUAAUAGGAACCUGCAAUAACUGCCUUCUCCCCAACUCCCUAAGAAUGAAGAAUACUGUUACUGUUUCAGAGCCACCAGAGACAGCCUUUCUAUGACAAAGAAAGAACAAGAAACAAAGCUAAACCAGUGCAGAACUAUUCCUGCUGACCCUUUUUGGGAAUGUCAACAGACCUUGUUUCUGUAACAACGAGUAUACUGUGACAAAGAUUAUCAAAAUAAUGCUAUGUGCCAUUUGAACAUAAAUUACAUUAUCUUUGAUGCCUUAAAUCAAAAGCACUUGAAGUCAGAAAGGAGGAAAAUUGCUGAAUCACAGUGAAGCACUGUCAAGGUUUAUAAUCUCUCUAGUGUAAGUACAGCUAUGAAGUAAUGGCUUUUGAGAUACUUUCAGUUUUUCUAAAAGUCCCUCAUCUCAUAAUGCAUAUAUAAAACAAAAAUAUCCUCAGCAAGCAACCUCUCAUUCCUUUUAAAAAUGUAGUGUGAAGAACACUUAGCCUUGGCAUAAUCCACAUCAGUUAUCAAAUUUUAAAACUUCAGACUGUUUGCAAUGUAAAAAGUGCUUUGAUUUCCAACUCUUUUUCAUUAAAACAGAUCGACCACAGCAAGGCACAGCAGUUAAAAAUUAUGGUUGGAACAUAGCUGAGAAUUGAAUACAAGCAGGAACACACUGAGAUUCUGUGUUUCACAUAUGCACAUAGCAAAUUGCUCAAAGAAGGAAGGAAACAGCCACAUUAUCUGCUAGAGCCUGUUCUAUCAUAUGCAUUUUGUGUUGAUUUUAGAUAAGUAAUGAAAUUCAUGUCAGGCUCUAAAUUUAACAGCAUGACUAUCUCCAGUGUUUUUGACAUUGUUUUGGAACUGCUUUGUCUGGUAUUUUGAUCCAGGUUAAAGAUUUUAACUGGGGAUAAAAACAUGUCUACAAAGUCUUAAUCUAAGAACAGAAUACCAAAGCCUUCAGCUCCCUUCAUUCCUUUGCUGUUAUCUGCCCCACCUACCUUUUUUAAUCUUAACUAAAAUUAAAACUUCA